AGUGGCGGACGGGUGAGUAAUGCUUAGGAAUCUGCCUAGUAGUGGGGGAUAACUCGAGGAAACUCGGGCUAAUACCGCAUACGCUCUACGGGGGAAAGCGGGGGACUUUCGGGCCUCGCGCCAUUAGAUGAGCCUAAGUCCGAUUAGCUAGUUGGUAGGGUAAUGGCCUACCAAGGCGACGAUCGGUAGCUGGUCUGAGAGGACGACCAGCCACACUGGGACUGAGACACGGCCCAGACUCCUACGGGAGGCAGCAGUGGGGAAUAUUGGACAAUGGGCGCAAGCCUGAUCCAGCGAUGCCGCGUGUGUGAAGAAGGCCUGCGGGUUGUAAAGCACUUUCAGUAGGGAAGAAAAGCCGAGCGCUAAUAUCGCUCAGUCUUGACGUUACUUACAGAAGAAGCACCGGCUAACUCCGUGCCAGCAGCCGCGGUAAUACGGAGGGUGCGAGCGUUAAUCGGAAUUACUGGGCGUAAAGGGCGCGUAGGCGGUUUGGUAAGUCGGGUGUGAAAGCCCCGGGCUCAACCUGGGAAUUGCAUUCGAUACUGCCUGGCUAGAGUAUGGUAGAGGGAAGCGGAAUUCCGGGUGUAGCGGUGAAAUGCGUAGAUAUCCGGAGGAACACCAGUGGCGAAGGCGGCUUCCUGGACCAAUACUGACGCUGAGGCGCGAAAGCGUGGGGAUCAAACAGGAUUAGAUACCCUGGUAGUCCACGCCCUAAACGAUGAGAACUAGCCGUUGGAGG
Molecule: ribosomal RNA, 739 nt
Filed under: uncultured bacterium
Lineage: Bacteria
Description: bacterial SSU rRNA
Rfam family: Bacterial small subunit ribosomal RNA
Source: RNAcentral